This 77-nucleotide transfer RNA is filed under the name Phyllobacterium endophyticum. RNAcentral's name for it is "tRNA-Met". It matches the Rfam family "tRNA". From Rfam's summary of the family: Transfer RNA (tRNA) molecules are approximately 80 nucleotides in length. The record is from RNAcentral. Lineage: Bacteria; Pseudomonadati; Pseudomonadota; Alphaproteobacteria; Hyphomicrobiales; Phyllobacteriaceae.
CGCAGGGUGGCGCAGUUCGGUAGCGCGCUUGGCUCAUAACCAAGAGGCAGUCUGUUCGAAUCCGGCUCCUGCAACCA